GACGGAGGGGGCAAGCGUUGUCCGGAAUUACUGGGCGUAAAGGGCGCGUAGGCGGUCGCCUACGGCGGUGGUGAAAGCUCCCGGCUCAACUGGGAGAGGCCCAUCGCAACGGGGCGACUGGAGGGUGGUAGAGGCAGACGGAAUUCCUGGUGUAGCGGUGAAAUGCGUAGAGAUCAGGAGGAACACCCGUGGCGAAGGCGGUCUGCUGGGCCACGCCUGACGCUGAGGCGCGAAAGCCAGGGGAG
Molecule: ribosomal RNA, 245 nt
Filed under: uncultured bacterium
Lineage: Bacteria
Description: partial 16S ribosomal RNA
Rfam family: Bacterial small subunit ribosomal RNA
Source: RNAcentral